GCAAGUCGAACGGUCGCAAGACAGUGGCGGACGGGUGAGUAACACGUGGCUAACCUGCCUCAAAGAGGGGGAUAACGGUUCGAAAGAGCCGCUAAUACCGCAUAAGCUCCCGCCUAAUAGAGGGGUGAGAGAAAAGUUCCGGCGCUUUGAGAGGGGGCUGCGGCCCAUCAGGUAGUUGGUGAGGUAACGGCUCACCAAGCCGACGACGGGUAGGGGGCCUGAGAGGGUGACCCCCCACACUGGGACUGAGACACGGCCCAGACUCCUACGGGAGGCAGCAGUGAGGAAUAUUGGUCAAUGGGGGCAACCCUGAACCAGCAACGCCGCGUGGGUGAUGAAGGUUUUCGGAUCGUAAAGCCCUUUUGCAGGUGACGAGGAAGGACGGUAGCCUGCGAAGAAGUGUCGGCUAACUACGUGCCAGCAGCCGCGGUAAAACGUAGGACACAAGCGUUAUCCGGAAUUACUGGGCGUAAAGCGCCCGCAGGCGGUUGGGAAAGUGAUCGUUGAAAGCGCCCGGCUAAACUGGGCGAGGAGCGGUGAGACUACCCGACUAGAGGGUGAUAGAGGCGUGUGGAAUUCCGCGUGUAGUGGUGAAAUGCGUAGAGAUGCGGAGGAACACCAGAGGCGAAGGCGGCACGCUGGGUCACACCUGACGCUGAGGGGCGACAGCACGGGGA
RNAcentral lists this ribosomal RNA (677 nucleotides) under uncultured bacterium. Its description in RNAcentral is "bacterial SSU rRNA". It matches the Rfam family "Bacterial small subunit ribosomal RNA", at positions 57 to 767 of the family's 1533-position model. The record is from RNAcentral.